RNAcentral lists this ribosomal RNA (305 nucleotides) under uncultured bacterium. RNAcentral describes it as "partial 16S ribosomal RNA". It matches the Rfam family "Bacterial small subunit ribosomal RNA", at positions 338 to 659 of the family's 1533-position model. The record is from RNAcentral.
CCUACGGGGGGCAGCAGUGGGGAAUAUUGCACAAUGGGGGAAACCCUGAUGCAGCGACGCCGCGUGAGUGAAGAAGUAUUUCGGUAUGUAAAGCUCUAUCAGCAGGGAAGAAGAAGGACGGUACCUGAGUAAGAAGCCCCGGCUAACUACGUGCCAGCAGCCGCGGUAAUACGUAGGGGGCAAGCGUUAUCCGGAUUUACUGGGUGUAAAGGGAGCGUAGACGGCUAUGCAAGUCUGGAGUGAAAUGCCGGGGCUCAACCCCGGAGCAGCUCUGGAAACUGCGUGGCUUGAGUGUCGGGGGGGCG